Molecule: ribosomal RNA, 500 nt
Filed under: uncultured bacterium
Lineage: Bacteria
Description: bacterial SSU rRNA
Rfam family: Bacterial small subunit ribosomal RNA
Source: RNAcentral
AUGAACGCUAGCUACAAGGCUUAACACAUGCAAGUCAGGGGCAGCAGGAUUGUGCUUGCACAGAUUGCUGGCGACCGGCGCACGGGUGAGUAACGCGUAUCCAACCUUCCCCAUAGUAGAGGAUAGCCCGGCGAAAGUCGGAUUAAUACUCUAUGUUGUGUCAUGAGGACAUCUGAAUAACACUAAAGAUUUAUCGCUAUGGGAUGGGGAUGCGUCUGAUUAGCUUGUGGCGGGGUAACGGCCCACCAAGGCGACGAUCAGUAGGGGUUCUGAGAGGAAGGUCCCCCACAUUGGUACUGAGACACGGACCAAACUCCUACGGGAGGCAGCAGUGAGGAAUAUUGGUCAAUGGGCGCGAGCCUGAACCAGCCAAGUAGCGUGCAGGAAUGACUGCCCUAUGGGUUGUAAACUGCUUUUAUCAGGGAAUAAAGUGAGGCCACGUGUGCCUUUUUGUAUGUACCUGAUGAAUAAGGACCGGCUAAUUCCGUGCCAGCCGCCGC